GCGAACGCUGGCGGCAGGCCUAACCCAUGCAAGUCGAACGGAUCCUUCGGGAUUAGUGGCGGACGGGUGAGUAACACGUGGGAACGUGCCCUUUGGUUCGGAACAACUCAGGGAAACUUGAGCUAAUACCGGAUGUGCCCUUCGGGGGAAAGAUUUAUCGCCAUUGGAGCGGCCCGCGUCUGAUUAGCUAGUUGGUGAGGUAACGGCCCACCAAGGCGACGAUCAGUAGCUGGUCUGAGAGGAUGAUCAGCCACACUGGGACUGAGACACGGCCCAGACUCCUACGGGAGGCAGCAGUGGGGAAUCUUGCGCAAUGGGCGAAAGCCUGACGCAGCCAUGCCGCGUGAAUGAUGAAGGUCUUAGGAUUGUAAAAUUCUUUCAGCGGGGACGAUAAUGACGGUACCCGCAGAAGAAGCUCCGGCUAACUUCGUG
RNAcentral lists this ribosomal RNA (432 nucleotides) under uncultured bacterium. RNAcentral's name for it is "partial 16S ribosomal RNA". It matches the Rfam family "Bacterial small subunit ribosomal RNA", at positions 29 to 507 of the family's 1533-position model. The record is from RNAcentral.